GAUGAACGCUGGCGGCGUGCCUAAUACAUGCAAGUCGAGCGAACAGAUAAGGAGCUUGCUCCUUUGACGUUAGCGGCGGACGGGUGAGUAACACGUGGAUAACCUACCUAUAAGACUGGGAUAACUUCGGGAAACCGGAGCUAAUACCGGAUAACAUAUUGAACCGCAUGGUUCAAUAGUGAAAGGCGGCUUUGCUGUCACUUAUAGAUGGAUCCGCGCCGUAUUAGCCAGUUGGUAAGGUAACGGCUUACCAAGGCAACGAUACGUAGCCGACCUGAGAGGGUGAUCGGCCACACUGGAACUGAGACACGGUCCAGACUCCUACGGGAGGCAGCAGUAGGGAAUCUUCCGCAAUGGGCGAAAGCCUGACGGAGCAACGCCGCGUGAGUGAUGAAGGUCUUCGGAUCGUAAAACUCUGUUAUCAGGGAAGAACAAAUGUGUAAGUAACUGUGCACAUCUUGACGGUACCUGAUCAGAAAGCCACGGCUAACUACGUG
Molecule: ribosomal RNA, 497 nt
Filed under: uncultured bacterium
Lineage: Bacteria
Description: partial 16S ribosomal RNA
Rfam family: Bacterial small subunit ribosomal RNA
Source: RNAcentral